Molecule: ribosomal RNA, 774 nt
Filed under: uncultured bacterium
Lineage: Bacteria
Description: bacterial SSU rRNA
Rfam family: Bacterial small subunit ribosomal RNA
Source: RNAcentral
AGAGUUUGAUCCUGGCUCAGGACGAACGCUGGCGGCGUGCUUAACACAUGCAAGUCGAACGGAAAGGCCCUGCUUGCGGGGUACUCGAGUGGCGAGCGGGUGAGUAACACGUGGGUGAUCUGCCCUGCACUUCGGGAUAAGCUUGGGAAACUGGGUCUAAUACCGGAUAGGACCGCACUUUAGUGUGUGUGGUGGAAAGUUUUUUCGGUGUAGGAUGAGCUCGCGGCCUAUCAGCUUGUUGGUGGGGUAAUGGCCUACCAAGGCGGCGACGGGUAGCCGGCCUGAGAGGGUGUACGGCCACAUUGGGACUGAGAUACGGCCCAGACUCCUACGGGAGGCAGCAGUGGGGAAUAUUGCACAAUGGGCGCAAGCCUGAUGCAGCGACGCCGCGUGGGGGAUGAAGGCCUUCGGGUUGUAAACUCCUUUCGCUAGGGACGAAGCUUUUGUGACGGUACCUAGAUAAGAAGCACCGGCUAACUACGUGCCAGCAGCCGCGGUAAUACGUAGGGUGCGAGCGUUGUCCGGAAUUACUGGGCGUAAAGGGCUCGUAGGUGGUUUGUCGCGUCGUCUGUGAAAUUCUGGGGCUUAACUCCGGGCGUGCAGGCGAUACGGGCAUAACUUGAGUGCUGUAGGGGUAACUGGAAUUCCUGGUGUAGCGGUGAAAUGCGCAGAUAUCAGGAGGAACACCGAUGGCGAAGGCAGGUUACUGGGCAGUUACUGACGCUGAGGAGCGAAAGCAUGGGUAGCGAACAGGAUUAGAUACCCUAGUAGUCC